AGCGUCGGUAGGGGCUUGCGUGUCUAUUAAUUGUUAUGUCCUUCAAGCAUGAAUUAAGUAACACCUUCUGGUUAUAAUGCCAGCCCGGAAUAUGAAUAUAAGGUUAGCUUCUACAAUUGAUUUGGCAGGAAUCAAAUCCGAGUUCCUCUACUGCGGAUUCGGCAGGGACCAGGCCUUCAGCGAUGAAAAGGGAGUAACAGAAGAAAAAACUCACCUUUCUUCAAGAAAUAUUCCAACUGCUCUGCAUCUGUGAACAUGCUCUGCCUUCACUCCUGUCACUGAAGAUCCUUCACUGCACAGCUCUUUACCUCUACUCAACGUGAGUCUUAAUGUCUCUUUAGUUAAUUGUAU
This 351-nucleotide long non-coding RNA is filed under the name Pan troglodytes (chimpanzee). RNAcentral's name for it is "long non-coding RNA NONPTRT013193". The record is from RNAcentral. Lineage: Eukaryota; Metazoa; Chordata; Mammalia; Primates; Hominidae.